ACGGCCCUCGCGGGCCGACAGACCCGCCACACCGCUGACCGCCCGCUCGGACACGGACACCGGCACCGCGCUCCCCGACACCCCGAGGGAACGCGCCGCCCGCCCGGCCCUGCCCCGGCUCCCCCGGAGAGGGCGAGCUGCGGCCCCGCGAUGAACAUCGGCCGCCGCAGAACCCCGGGCGCGGGGCAGACCUGCCCCGCCGUGCCAGGGAAGAUGCCCGGCUCUGCCACAGAAGUGAUAAGGGAAAAGCCUGGUGCCACCUGCAAAUACAGCUCUAGAAUAGGCACCUGCGGCUCCUGUCCCCGCCUGAGGAUCUCCGAGGAGCAGCCCAGAGGACGGAGCAGAGGGGCCCUGGUGGCACGGCCCGGGACGUGCUGACGGACAACAACAACGGGAAUUCUCUUGUCGGCACUGCAACCCCAACAGCAUCCUCCUGCCUGCCUUUGGGGGAAGGUUGUUCCCGUCCCCGUCUUUCUAAAGACACUGCUUCAUCAUCUUCCUACUUCCCACCAGCCCCAGAGCAGGUCACUGCCACAGUCACCACGAACACACCCCGGGAGGCGAUGCUGUCCGCAUGGAUGCAAACCAAUGAGAAAAACCUACAAAGAGUCUUUUUCCAGGGACCGAGUGAUCAGAACAACCACAGGGGAAGGAAAGCACACCUAACAGAGCUAAUGAGAUUACAACAGGCACCGUGGGUUCCUUGCCAGGACACUUGUAAUCAUGCCACAUUUUUAAUCCCUGCUAGCAAGAGACAAACAAUUGUGCAUAAUUACUUACAAGCACAAGUUAACAACUGUCUUCAUGGUAAACACAGAUACUCAAUUGCUUCAACUGCCCAAAACUCCCAAGUCAGGGUCAUCCUGUGCCAGUAGUCAUCACUCGUCGGUGCUUGGGAUAUUGAAGACUCAGGUCUUGAAAACUUAUUCCCUAACAAGUGCCCCAGGCAAACGAGUUUGGCUCUCCCACCAGUGCCACACUCCCAGCCAUGACAGAUUAGCACCAAGAGAUCUGAAAGCCCAGAACACGCUGCUCUGCCCAGGGCCUCGUGCCAGCGGGUCCAGCAGGCCCACAGGGCACCCCAGCUGCCCCGUGCAGGACUGCCAGCACAUCAGAGAGCUUUUGGGAGCCUGAACACAUCCCCCAGCCUCCAGUCAAGGUGCACUGCAACUCCACAGGCUGCCAGCCACAAGAAGACAAGUGUUACUCCCAGGAGCUGUAAUGCCUCGAAGGUAAAUCUUCAGAACGUGAAGAAAUACUAAAUGUAUAUUUUGUCUGCACAGUUACUUGAAGAAAAAGUGUUUUGUCAGAAUUUGUUAUCUACCUGAAAACAGCUAGAAAUGUCAGCUUUAAAAAUAGUCUUCGAGCAGAAAUAAAGAAAAACUGUGGACCAGAGGUUUACCUUCAAUAUCUCCACUAAAUAAAGGAAGAUGUUAGCAUGGAAUUAUAAUUUUUUAUCUCCAUAAACUAUUUUCCCUCACUUUGAAAUUCCCUUGUGGUAUUCCAAGUCACUAAGGAGUCCCCAAGAAGCUUCAAAUGCUACAUGAUACACUGUCUGCAAAACCCAGGUGACACAUGGGAUGUCUCCUCUGGGCUGUCUUUAAUAAGCUGAGAAGGACUGUAGCAAAUCCAGAGGGAGAACCAUAGGGACAGGCAGGAAAAGGAUUGAGCUGAACUUUUUAUUUUUUAUUUCAUUAAAACUGAUGUAGGGGCAGAGUUUCUAGACCUCACCUAGUAGGCCAGUCAGUACUAAAGGCUUUUCUUAAUCCACAGGUGGGUUUUGAAGUUCAACUUCUGAAAUUUGGAAGGAUUUGCUACUUGUUUUGGGAAUGUUGCAACAUUGGUUUGGCCAAAGCAUGACCUUGACUUUACUGAUUAUUGGGAAUACAAGGAAAAUGAAGCUAAAAAUGUUGAAAGCAAAUUUUAAAAGUGAUUCUCAGAAAAAACAGAAGAGAGAAAUAACACGGAGAAGUCAUUCCUUAAGAGGAUAACAGAGAUGACUCAGUUGUCUGCUGAGCUGGGUCAAUGAAAAUGAUUAAGAAACAGCCUCACAAAUCAAUGGAAAGGUUAUCUGGAAAUGCCCAAGAAAGUAAAACUAACACAGAAGAGAGUCCUAUUACUUCCCAUUAUUGCUAUAAAGAAAUGUUGUACAGCCAGGUUAAUGAUACAUUUUUCCUCCUCGUUACAGUCUUUGACACAAAAAUAAAGUGUCUCCCUGCACUGGGAAUUGUU
Molecule: long non-coding RNA, 2232 nt
Organism: Pipra filicauda (Wire-tailed manakin)
Lineage: Eukaryota; Metazoa; Chordata; Aves; Passeriformes; Pipridae
Exons: 2
Source: RefSeq, a predicted model, not a curated record